Molecule: long non-coding RNA, 849 nt
Organism: Haliotis rubra (blacklip abalone)
Lineage: Eukaryota; Metazoa; Mollusca; Gastropoda; Lepetellida; Haliotidae
Exons: 4
Source: RefSeq, a predicted model, not a curated record
UGCAGGCCCUCCUAUCUAUGUGAUGAAAAAGCGUUAAAUGAGAUCAUAAUGAUGGCGUAUUGGUAGCAUAGCGUCUGUAUUGCUAUCUAAUGCAGUUCAUAUACGAACAAAAAGAGGUACUAUCGGAUUUGACAGCGGCUGUUAGCGGAAUACGCGUACAGCCGCUAUGCGAAACUCGGUAAAAUGCAGCGGAAUAACUUCGACUGUAUCCGUGAAAAACCGAUCGUAGUUGAAUGACAACACCAUUUCCGGAAAAACAUUGUACGACAAAAUGGCGGACGAAACGAAACAAGUGACAAGGUUCGUGAGUGGUUCCAGGCGUGUGAUGACCCAGGGAUAUCAGCUAUUGACAGAUGCAGGAUGAUACAUAUGGGUAUAUAGGUUCAAGAAAUUCCUUCUGUCACUGGCUGACUUGUCCACUUCCCUCCAGUGGGUUUACAUGUCAACACGUCCAAAAUUUGUGGGGAGAGCAUUGUAAGACAAGAUCCAACCAGGACCACUUGUUUGAUGCCCUCAGUAGGCUCAUCGUGCGAGGAAACCGGUGAAGGUUAUGUCAAGUGUGCAUGAACCUGGUCUUGGAGCUACCACAAAGUCAAGGAAAGCAAGAUGAAGCGACUAAUAAGAGCUGGUCUUUCUGUUGCCCACUGUGAUGAACAGAUGUCCAAGUGUUGAAUCUGUUAUGUUUUUACAUAUGCACUUUCAUAAUGUGUAAAUAUGGGAAUUGUAAAGUUGGAAAUGAUGUGAUGUUGUCUUAAGUAAACAGAAAAUAAGACAUUUUUAUCUACUGAUUAUCAUUGGACAAAGAAAGUCAUAUUCAGAUUUGUCAAUGAAUAAAACACUUGAACUUCA